GUAAUUCCAGCUCCAAUAGCGUAUAUUAAAGUUGUUGCAGUUAAAAAGCUCGUAGUUGAAUUUCGGGAUCAAUACGUCGGUCGUGCUUCGGUACGUACUGGCGUCAUUGAUUUCUCCCUUCUGACGAACCAUGAUGUCAUUAACUUGGUGUCAUGGGAAAUCAGGACUGUUACUUUGAAAAAAUUAGAGUGUUUAAGGCAGGCUCACGCUUGAAUACAUUAGCAUGGAAUAAUGAAAUAGGACGUUUGACCCUAUUUUGUUGGUUUUUAGGAUCGACGUAAUGAUUAAUAGGGAUAGUUGGGGGCAUUAGUAUUCAAUUGUCAGAGGUGAAAUUCUUGGAUUUAUUGAAGACUAACUACUGCGAAAGCAUUUGCCAAGGAUGUUUUCAUUAAUCAAGAACGAAAGUUAGGGGAUCGAAGACGAUCAGAUACCGUCGUAGUCUUAACCAUAAACUAUGCCGACUAGGGAUCGGAUG
This 475-nucleotide ribosomal RNA is filed under the name uncultured Glomus. Its description in RNAcentral is "SSU rRNA". It matches the Rfam family "Eukaryotic small subunit ribosomal RNA", at positions 579 to 1059 of the family's 1831-position model. Lineage: Eukaryota; Fungi; Glomeromycota; Glomeromycetes; Glomerales; Glomeraceae. The record is from RNAcentral.